This 465-nucleotide ribosomal RNA is filed under the name uncultured Klebsiella sp. Its description in RNAcentral is "bacterial SSU rRNA". It matches the Rfam family "Bacterial small subunit ribosomal RNA", at positions 338 to 795 of the family's 1533-position model. Lineage: Bacteria; Pseudomonadati; Pseudomonadota; Gammaproteobacteria; Enterobacterales; Enterobacteriaceae. The record is from RNAcentral.
CCUACGGGCGGCUGCAGUGGGGAAUAUUGCACAAUGGGCGCAAGCCUGAUGCAGCCAUGCCGCGUGUGUGAAGAAGGCCUUCGGGUUGUAAAGCACUUUCAGCGGGGAGGAAGGCGUUAAGGUUAAUAACCUUGGCGAUUGACGGUACCCGCAGAAGAAGCACCGGCUAACUCCGUGCCAGCAGCCGCGGUAAUACGGAGGGUGCAAGCGUUAACCGGAAUUACUGGGCGUAAAGCGCACGCAGGCGGUCUGUCAAGUCGGAUGUGAAAUCCCCGGGCUCAACCGGGGAACUGCAUUCGAAACUGGCAGGCUAGAGUCUUGUAGAGGGGGGUGGAAUCCCAGGUGUAGCGGUGAAAUGCGUAGAGAUCUGGAGGAAUACCGGUGGCGAAGGCGACCCCCUGGACAAAGACUGACGCUCAGGUGCGAAAGCGUGGGGAGCAAACAGGAUUAGAUACCCGGGUAGUC